GACGAACGCUGGCGGCGUGCUUAACACAUGCAAGUCGAACGGUGAAGCGCCUUCCUUUUUGGUGGGUGUGGAUGAGUGGCGAACGGGUGAGUAACACGUUAGUAACCUGCCCCCUUCUUCUGGAUAACCGCAUGAAAGUGUGGCUAAUACGGGAUAUUCUGGGUCUGUCGCAUGAUGGGUCUGGGAAAGAUAUUGUUUCGGUGGGGGAUGGGCUCGCGGCCUAUCAGCUUGUUGGUGGGGUGAUGGCCUACCAAGGCGGUGACGGGUAGCCGGCCUGAGAGGGUGGACGGUCACACUGGGACUGAGACACGGCCCAGACUCCUACGGGAGGCAGCAGUGGGGAAUAUUGCACAAUGGGCGCAAGCCUGAUGCAGCGACGCCGCGUGAGGGAUGGAGGCCUUCGGGUUGUGAACCUCUUUCGCCAGUGAAGCAGGCCUGCCCCGUUUGUGGGUGGGUUGACGGUAGCUGGAUAAGAAGCGCCGGCUAACUACGUG
RNAcentral lists this ribosomal RNA (494 nucleotides) under uncultured bacterium. RNAcentral's name for it is "partial 16S ribosomal RNA". It matches the Rfam family "Bacterial small subunit ribosomal RNA", at positions 28 to 507 of the family's 1533-position model. The record is from RNAcentral.